This is an unclassified non-coding RNA of Ictidomys tridecemlineatus (thirteen-lined ground squirrel), 296 nucleotides long. Its record names the gene 7SK. It matches the Rfam family "7SK RNA". From Rfam's summary of the family: 7SK was discovered as an abundant small nuclear RNA in the mid-70s but a possible function has only recently been suggested. Two independent studies have found that 7SK RNA binds the CDK9/cyclin T complex (known as elongation factor P-TEFb). The record is from Ensembl. NCBI's taxonomy places the organism in Eukaryota, Metazoa, Chordata, Mammalia, Rodentia, Sciuridae.
GGAUGUGAGGGUGAUCUGGCUGUGACAUCUGUCACUCCAUUGAUCUCUAGGCUGAUCUGGCUGGCUAAAUCUGUGUCCCCUUCCUCCCUCACCAUUCCUCCCAAGGUUGCACACAUUCUCUCAGUUGAAGAGGAUGACCUUCUCCAGUGAUCUUUCUUAGAUCAAGGAUUUGUGAGUAGCUGUGCUCCUCUGCUAGAACCUCCAAACAAGCUCUCAAGACCUUUAAGCUAAAUUGCAAUUUUGUCCUUUAACAAAAGUCUCAGUUUGAAAUAAGCAAGACCUGCUUUCUCUCCUUU